CCUACGGGAGGCUGCAGUGGGGAAUAUUGGACAAUGGGCGAAAGCCUGAUCCAGCCAUGCCGCGUGUGUGAAGAAGGCCUUCGGGUUGUAAAGCACUUUCAGUGGGGAAGAAAGCCUUGGGGCUAAUACCCUCGAGGAAGGACAUCACCCACAGAAGAAGCACCGGCUAACUCCGUGCCAGCAGCCGCGGUAAUACGGAGGGUGCGAGCGUUAAUCGGAAUUACUGGGCGUAAAGCGCGCGUAGGCGGUCUGAUAAGCCGGUUGUGAAAGCCCCGGGCUCAACCUGGGAACGGCAUCCGGAACUGUCAGGCUAGAGUGCAGGAGAGGAAGGUAGAAUUCCCGGUGUAGCGGUGAAAUGCGUAGAGAUCGGGAGGAAUACCAGUGGCGAAGGCGGUCUUCUGGACUGACACUGACGCUGAGGUGCGAAAGCGUGGGUAGCAAACAGGAUUAGAUACCCGAGUAGUC
RNAcentral lists this ribosomal RNA (465 nucleotides) under Vreelandella stevensii. Its description in RNAcentral is "partial 16S ribosomal RNA". It matches the Rfam family "Bacterial small subunit ribosomal RNA", at positions 338 to 795 of the family's 1533-position model. The record is from RNAcentral. Lineage: Bacteria; Pseudomonadati; Pseudomonadota; Gammaproteobacteria; Oceanospirillales; Halomonadaceae.